Molecule: long non-coding RNA, 1137 nt
Organism: Aquila chrysaetos chrysaetos
Lineage: Eukaryota; Metazoa; Chordata; Aves; Accipitriformes; Accipitridae
Exons: 4
Source: RefSeq, a predicted model, not a curated record
CCCCUCCGCCGCCACCUCCAGGAACCGCCGCUGCCGCCCCAUGGCCCCGAACGGAAGCCGCCGCCAGACAGAAAAGAAAAAGAAGAAAAGAAGAGCCAGGAGGAUAGGUUGUUCAGUUUACUACUGGAGACCUGACUGUGACAGACCACCAAGAAAACAAAAUUUUCAAAGAGAGCAAAGAAGACCUUCUGCAGCAUCUGCGAGUCUCUCCUUUUUUCUUCAGUUACGUAGGAUAACUUAGCCAGAACUUAUUGAUGACUGCAUGUUCAGUGGACUCGGGAAUGGACUGGGAGAUGCGGGAAGGCACUCUUUGGAAGGAACAGAAGAGGAGGCAUUUCAAAGAUCCUGCAGGUGACUGAGGUGAUGAUCUGCUGCCAGAAUAAAUAAAUGUUAGAAAGUGCCGAGACUGCUCAGCCAUUUGUCGCGGUAUCACUACCCCAUGAGGAACCUGUAUCAUCAUGUUUCUUCAAGUAUCUUCUCUCCUGUGUUCGAAUAUUGAUCCAGUGGGGUCAAUGCACGUUAUUCCAUGGUGAUGAUUGGGACUUGCACUUAACACCUUGGCACGUGGGAGAUCCCUGCUCAGUUUCCAUCUCUGUUAUGCGUUUGCUCUGGAACGUAGGUGAGUCACUCUUGGGCCAGCCACAAUAGGGUUGACAGAGCUUCUUUCUUAUGCCCUGGCUGCUUGGAUAGUCUGCUUUGUGACAGGGAUGUUUCCUACUAUAUUUCUGUACCUAGGAAGUAGGGUUCCAAUUCCAUUUGGUACCUCAGGUUACAUAACAUAACAAAUUUAAUUUCAAAUAAUGACAUCAAGAUUAAAAAAAAAAUCCCUAUCACAUUAAUUAUCCUCAGAGCAUUCCACUCCCUUUGCAAAUUUAUUUUGGAGACUAAGCAAGGUUAUACUGCCGUAUUAAAUAUAGUCAUCUGUGUGGAUAAAAGUAGUUGUAAAGCUCCGGCUAAUACUCAUAUGAAGUUUAGAUUAGAGCAUACGUUCCACCUACUGAUACCAAAAAUACCAAGUUAAUGUACCAAAAAUAAACAUUCGUGUAAAGAAAACAAAGAAGCUUUUAAGUGAUCAUUCUGAAAAUUUCAAUGGCAUUUUGCAGUCAUUUGCGUUGCAUGAUUUGUGCUUAAAAUACU